Molecule: long non-coding RNA, 642 nt
Filed under: Anas platyrhynchos platyrhynchos (common mallard)
Lineage: Eukaryota; Metazoa; Chordata; Aves; Anseriformes; Anatidae
Description: lncRNA (ENSAPLG00000024588.1)
Source: RNAcentral
UGCAAGCAGAGGAAAAUUUUAAGCUUUUAUAGUUAGAAAUUAGUAUUCUGAUUGUGAUAGAUGCUGUACAGUAAGGAGAGAACUAGCUCCUGCCUGAGGCAAUUUUAUGAUGUAAUAGGAUUCUAAAGAUUUUAAACAUGUUUUAAUUCAGAAUGGGAGAAAAAAAUUAAUCAGACUGCAUGAACCGGGGAAUUGGAAGUGCCAGCACCAGGAAAUCCAGCAGAUUCUACCACAGCAGCACAGGUUUGAAGUUUCUGGCAAAAUUUAAGGAGCAGGAUGCUCAGAACUUUUCAAGUUGGAAUUUGUCUCUUCUCCCUAGAAAACAUCUUCUAAUUCCUGUUGACUUCAGAGGAGUGCAAGAUUUCAUUCUUUUUCAGAACAGAAAACAAUACCUGCAUUAAGUAUCUGUUGGAGCGAGUGGACAUUGGGGGCUUUUUGCAUCAUACUCAAAGUUGUCAGUUUCCUAGGAUAAUGGCUUCCACUCCCAUGUUUUGUAACAGGGUUCUUGGUUAUUAUUUGUGACACUUGUUUUAAGGAAGAACAUAUUUAAUAACUUUGGUUAGUGGUAUCUAAAGAUUGCUGCCACAUGUAGCAGCAUUGUUGUUUGUCUGAAUAAAACUGUACUAAUAUGUUUUUACUUCA